Molecule: ribosomal RNA, 497 nt
Filed under: uncultured bacterium
Lineage: Bacteria
Description: partial 16S ribosomal RNA
Rfam family: Bacterial small subunit ribosomal RNA
Source: RNAcentral
GAUGAACGCUGGCGGCGUGCCUAAUACAUGCAAGUCGAGCGAACGGACGAGAAGCUUGCUUCUCUGAUGUUAGCGGCGGACGGGUGAGUAACACGUGGAUAACCUACCUAUAAGACUGGGAUAACUUCGGGAAACCGUAGCUAAUACCGGAUAAUAUUUUGAACCGCAUGGUUCAAAAGUGAAAGACGGUCUUGCUGUCACUUAUAGAUGGAUCCGCGCUGCAUUAGCUAGUUGGUAAGGUAACGGCUUACCAAGGCAACGAUGCAUAGCCGACCUGAGAGGGUGAUCGGCCACACUGGAACUGAGACACGGUCCAGACUCCUACGGGAGGCAGCAGUAGGGAAUCUUCCGCAAUGGGCGAAAGCCUGGCGGAGCAACGCCGCGUGAGUGAUGAAGGCCUUCGGAUCGUAAAACUCUGUUAUUAGGGAAGAACAUAUGUGUAAGUAACUGUGCACAUCUUGACGGUACCUAAUCAGAAAGCCACGGCUAACUACGUG